This 169-nucleotide ribosomal RNA is filed under the name uncultured rumen bacterium. RNAcentral's name for it is "partial 16S ribosomal RNA". It matches the Rfam family "Bacterial small subunit ribosomal RNA", at positions 340 to 523 of the family's 1533-position model. The record is from RNAcentral.
UACGGGAGGCAGCAGUGGGGAAUAUUGGGCAAUGGGCGAAAGCCUGACCCAGCAACGCCGCGUGAAGGAAGAAGGCCUUCGGGUUGUAAACUUCUUUUAUGAGGGACGAAGGACGUGACGGUACCUCAUGAAUAAGCCACGGCUAACUACGUGCCAGCAGCCGCGGUAA